UAGAGACUGGGACGUUUAAGACCAAGGUGCUGGCAGAUUGGGUGUCUAGUAAGAAUCUGCUUCCUGCUUCAUAGACAGCUAUCUUCUCGGGGAAGAUUAGGGCACAGACAGACACAUAAGAAUGACCAGGGGAAGACAGGGAGAAGACACAUGUCUACGAGCCAUGGAGAGAAGUUUCAAAAGAAACCAGCCCUGCUAACACCCUGAUCUUGGAUGUUUAGUCUCCAAAAUGCAAGGUGACUAAAGCCAUGAAGUGUUUGGAUCCAGUGAAGCAGAGGAAUGAAGAUGAAAACACCAUGAAAAAUGAAGUUACACGCAAUACUACCCAGAGACAAGACAAUUGCAGACAAUUCUCAAAAAAUUGAAACUCUGAGAAAUAAUUAACUUGGUCAAAGUUUCACACUAUGCGGCAGAUCUGGAAUCGAAACCCAGCUGUUUGACCAUAAACCAAGCUCUGCUUCGUAACAUGUGAGCCCUUUGAAAAGAAAAAAAGUGAUAGACCAGUGCCAUAAAGAAAAUUUUCUUCUCCUUAGUAAAUCCUUCAAUCUUCCAGUGAUAA
Neofelis nebulosa (Clouded leopard) is the source of this 559-nucleotide long non-coding RNA. RefSeq lists it as uncharacterized. The transcript has 4 exons. The record is from RefSeq and is a predicted model, not a curated record. NCBI's taxonomy places the organism in Eukaryota, Metazoa, Chordata, Mammalia, Carnivora, Felidae.